GAUUAAUUGAAUAGGCUAUAGUACUUUUAAUUGUCAAGAAAUAAUUUAUGCUUUUGCUAUGAAUGAGGUCUCUGCAGAACAAAAGUACCCGUUUCUAACUUUGUGGGUGUUUUCAAACUGGUGGGUGUUUCUAUUAUGCAAUAAAAAUGAUGCCCCUUACCUGACCCCACCCCUAAGCAUACCCAUCACUGUGACGUGAGCCAAUCAGUUAACAUGGUUGAAAACGCCCCUCUGUUGUGGCCUCGCCCACUGAUCUGGUAAUUCCCAUUACUUUCCUGCAGAGACCUGCUAUUGGUGAGGGUUAGCAUUAUGGUUGGGGUUAAAAUUAGGCUAGCUGCUUAUACGGGGCUGGGAAAACAUAGUUGGACACCUCUCUCCACACAGCUCUCUCAAAGGUGAAAAAAAAAACGAAAGGUCCGUAUCCGAUCAGAUGGUGGAUCAGCACCAAGAGAUGAUGUCUACAGCCCUGAUCGUCAGCGGAGACCAGGACACCCAGAUGACCCCCAGAGACAUAUCCCCAGUGAAGACCUCGAUUAAAAUACAAUAAAACUAAAAAUAUAAUAAAAUACCUAACUACAUAAUACUACUAUUGUUAGAAAUUGCAACAAAAUUAAAAUAGAAAUAUAAACUUUUGAACUGCGGGUUUCGUCUGGUCAGAGGAGAACUGGCCCCUCGACUGAGCCUGGUUUCUCCCAAGGUUUUUCUCCAUUCUGUCACAGAGGGAGUUUUGGUUCCUUGCGCUGUCGCCUCUGGCUUGCUCAGUUGGGGACACUUAAUUUCUAGCGAUUAUCGUUGAUUUGAUUGCACAGAUACUAUUUCAACUAAACUGAGCUAGACAAUGACAUAUCUCUGAAUUCAAUAAUGAAAUGUCUUUAACUGAAAAUUGAGUGUUUAAUCUUAUCAUUAUACAUUACUGACACUCUAUCCUCCAAUUUGAUACUGUUAAGUGCUUUGACACAAUCUGUAUUGUUAAAAGCGCUAUAUAAAUAAAGGUGACUUGACUUGACUUGACUAAGAUCUAAACUGCUAAAUAACAUAUUUGAGAUUAAAGUAAUAUCGGAUUUGUCUCGUUUUAAAUAAACACUAAAAACUUUUACUCAAAUGGUUAAAUGUUCAAUAAUCCCUUCCAAAGAUGUUUGGAAAGGGGAACUAAGGGAAACUGAGCCCUUGUCUUCAUACUGAGGUCAGCAAUGACACCUUCUGACAACCAAAAAUGGUAUAUAUGUUUUGUAGGCUAAAACUUGUGACCAGAAUGACAAAAAAUACUGCAAAUACACUACAAUAUGUGUUCCUGUCAUUCAUUACUACAUCGGAGCAUGGGGUUUGGUUGUAAUGCAGGUUCAGUUGCAGAGUUGCUUAAUGUAUGAAUGUAUAGGCUUAGGUUGACAUACUGUAUUUACAAUGUCAAUCUUUGAUUUUCAGCUUCCUUUAGAUAAGCACUGCAUGUGACCACCACUUCCACCUUCCACUCACAGAGAGCUGCAAAGAUGGCGUGUGUUGUGAGAUACAGUUUUCUAUUGAUCAGUAUCUGUUUAAGAAGCACCUCAUGGGCAGACACAAUGGUGCAAGGCAGCGGAAGAACAACUUGGGGCACCUCCUGAAGAUGGAGACAGUGACUGACACACGCACACACACUAAAUAUAUAAUUACUAUAAAUUAUGUUCUUGUUACUGUUUCCAUUAUUUGGACACAUUUUGAUGCUUUACUGUGGAAAUUAUCAUGGCAAUAAAGCCAAUUUGAACUGAAUCGAAUUGUCCGAGUUCCCCCCUCUCUACCACCCUUCCUAUGCAUGACCAUAUUUAAUAUUCAUUUAUAAUCCGUUUUUGUUCUCAAAAUAAAUUAAUGAUGCUUUC
Long non-coding RNA from Onychostoma macrolepis, 1853 nucleotides. RefSeq lists it as uncharacterized. The record is from RefSeq and is a predicted model, not a curated record. NCBI's taxonomy places the organism in Eukaryota, Metazoa, Chordata, Actinopteri, Cypriniformes, Cyprinidae. The transcript has 3 exons.